Leopardus geoffroyi (Geoffroy's cat) is the source of this 732-nucleotide long non-coding RNA. RefSeq lists it as uncharacterized. The record is from RefSeq and is a predicted model, not a curated record. The transcript is spliced from 3 exons. NCBI's taxonomy places the organism in Eukaryota, Metazoa, Chordata, Mammalia, Carnivora, Felidae.
CAAUGAGCAGGUGCAGAAAGGAAGUUCAAUGUUCCUCACAUUGGGACAACCUGGGGAACCAGAGAGAUUUGUCCCACAGAAGUGGGGAUGCCUCAAGGAGAGACCUACCCGGAAGGAUUUGAAAGUGAAUGAGGAACCCUGGGGGGUGCUGACAAUGCUUCCACUUAGGAAGUGCUGUCUCUGGGACAGUGGAGGCAGUCACUGCUUAGGGCACCAGGAGACCAUUCCAGAAGGGCAGGCUGUGCACCUGAGACAACAGCUGAACUGACCAGAGGAGAAAGGUCAGGAUCCUGGGAGCCCGAGCUCAGGUUGGAGCUGAAGGUGGUGGUAGCCAGGACAGACCACAGAAAAGUUUCCUGCAGGGAAGUGGCAGUGGCCUCAGGAAACCGGGCAGAGAAUAGCCAGGGGCCAUCUGAGUUCUCAAACCUCUCCAGGUUCCUCUCUCAAGUGAUGUCGCAGCCCGCACCUGUUCCUCUCACUAGGGCAGGAGGAAGGCCCUGGCCACCCAGCAAGCAGACACUGUCACUAUUUAGAGAAAGAGUGGCAUGGGAGGGAAAACUGCAGAAGGAACUGAAAACUCAGUGCCAUGGACAACUCUUUUAUUGUGAACAUGGCACCUUCUGAUCCAGAGCCUAUCAACUUCCAGAGCUCCUCUCUCUCUCUGUCUCUCUGACUGGCCAGAUUUUUACUAGGCAUUUUUGAAUUGAAAUAUAUUAAUUAAAAGUCUCAACC